Molecule: ribosomal RNA, 499 nt
Filed under: uncultured bacterium
Lineage: Bacteria
Description: bacterial SSU rRNA
Rfam family: Bacterial small subunit ribosomal RNA
Source: RNAcentral
AUUGAACGCUGGCGGCGUGCCUAACACAUGCAAGUCGAGCGGUAACAGGUGUAGCAAUACAUGCUGACGAGCGGCGGACGGGUGAGUAACGCUUGGGAAUCUGCCUGUUAGUGGGGGACAACCCGGGGAAACUCGGGCUAAUACCGCAUACGCACUACGGUGGAAAGCCGGGGACCGCAAGGCCUGGCGCUAACAGAUGAGCCCAAGUCGGAUUAGCUAGUUGGUAGGGUAACGGCCUACCAAGGCGACGAUCCGUAACUGGUCUGAGAGGACGACCAGUCACACCGGAACUGAGACACGGUCCGGACUCCUACGGGAGGCAGCAGUGGGGAAUAUUGGACAAUGGGCGAAAGCCUGAUCCAGCGACGCCGCGUGGGUGAAGAAGGCCUGCGGGUUGUAAAGCCCUUUCGGUAGGGGAAGAAAAGCCUCGAGUUAAUACCUCGGGGUCUUGACGUAACCCAUAGAAGAAGCACCGGCUAACUCUGUGCCAGCAGCCGCU